Molecule: ribosomal RNA, 429 nt
Filed under: Gemmatimonadota bacterium
Lineage: Bacteria; Pseudomonadati; Gemmatimonadota
Description: Gemmatimonadetes bacterium partial 16S ribosomal RNA
Rfam family: Bacterial small subunit ribosomal RNA
Source: RNAcentral
UAGGGAAUCUUCGGCAAUGGACGAAAGUCUGACCGAGCAACGCCGCGUGAGUGAAGAAGGUUUUCGGAUCGUAAAACUCUGUUGUUAGAGAAGAACAAGGACGUUAGUAACUGAACGUCCCCUGACGGUAUCUAACCAGAAAGCCACGGCUAACUACGUGCCAGCAGCCGCGGUAAUACGUAGGGGGCAAGCGUUGUCCGGAUUUAUUGGGCGUAAAGCGAGCGCAGGCGGUUUCUUAAGUCUGAUGUGAAAGCCCCCGGCUCAACCGGGGAGGGUCAUUGGAAACUGGGAGACUUGAGUGCAGAAGAGGAGAGUGGAAUUCCAUGUGUAGCGGUGAAAUGCAUAGAUAUAUGGAGGAACACCAGUGGCGAAGGCGGCUCUCUGGUCUGUAACUGACGCUGAGGCUCGAAAGCGUGGGGAGCAAACAGG